GGAGGGUGCAAGCGUUAUUCGGAUUUACUGGGCGUAAAGGGCGCGUAGGCGGCUUGAUAAGUCAGUCGUGAAAGCCCGGGGCUCAACCCCGGAAGUGCGAUUGAAACUAUCAGGCUUGAGUAUGGUAGAGGGAAGUGGAAUUCCAGGUGUAGCGGUGAAAUGCGUAGAUAUCUGGAGGAACACCGGUGGCGAAGGCGACUUCCUGGACCAAUACUGACGCUGAUGCGCGAAGGUGUGGGUAGCAAACAGGAUUAGAUACCCUGGUAGUCCACACAGUAAACGGUGAUCACUAGGUGUUGCGGGUAUUGACCCCUGCAGUGCCAGAGCUAACGCAUUAAGUGAUCCGCCUGGGGAGUACGGUCGCAAGAUUA
This 371-nucleotide ribosomal RNA is filed under the name uncultured bacterium. Its description in RNAcentral is "bacterial SSU rRNA". It matches the Rfam family "Bacterial small subunit ribosomal RNA", at positions 527 to 896 of the family's 1533-position model. The record is from RNAcentral.